CAAAAGGGUGUUUGCCUCUUUAUGGCACCCAAGUCUAAGAGACUUGUGGGGUAUGGCAAUCAAGACAUACCCAACACAUAAUUUUUUUGGCCAUGGGGGCAGUUUCUUGGCAAUGUACCAGAGACGCCUCC
This is a small nuclear RNA of Aethina tumida (small hive beetle), 131 nucleotides long. RefSeq annotates it as U11 spliceosomal RNA. NCBI's taxonomy places the organism in Eukaryota, Metazoa, Arthropoda, Insecta, Coleoptera, Nitidulidae. The record is from RefSeq and is a predicted model, not a curated record. The transcript has a single exon.